Long non-coding RNA from Cotesia glomerata, 631 nucleotides. RefSeq lists it as uncharacterized. The transcript has 3 exons. Lineage: Eukaryota; Metazoa; Arthropoda; Insecta; Hymenoptera; Braconidae. The record is from RefSeq and is a predicted model, not a curated record.
GGAGCCGAGAGUACCACUUCGGAGUGACCGAACCGAAGAGACUGACAAGACUGAAAACUAGUGAAGAGAUGCCGAUCAUCGUAAUCCUGAAGUAAUGAAUUUUGGCAUGAAAGAAGUGAUUGUUUGUCAAGCGAAGGACUUUUAUUGCUAAAAUCUAAAAGAAGACUAAAUUUAUCUGAGAGAAAAUAAAUUGAUGAUGUUAAAUCAAAAUUAAUUUCUAUGUUGAAUUCAAGAGAAGUAUUUUAUAGCUCGUUUAAUAGAGCCAGACGAAAAACAAAUUGCACAAGUUGAGUCAAGUCUUACAUUGAAGAAAGUUGAUCGAUUAAAUAUGAUUAAGGAUGGUGAUAUUUGGUGCUUAUUCAGCGUUAACGUGCAUUCGCGAUGAUAAAUUGCGAAUAACAAUAAAAGAUGACCCGGAGAUAAUGAAGAGAAUUGUUAAACAAAAAGUAAGUAGUAUAUAUAGAUGAAUAAGAAGUGCCGAAGAGAGAACUAACUAAUGUCCCAGUUAUACAGUUGGUAACCUCGAUGUUUAAAUUGAUAAUGCUUCGUACUAUCCUACAGUACCAAAACAUGUAUUAUUAUUGUUAUUACUAUUAUUAUUUCAAUUUUUUUAAUGAAACUUUCUGAAAAA